RNAcentral lists this long non-coding RNA (833 nucleotides) under Brassica napus (rape). RNAcentral's name for it is "long non-coding RNA (BNAP_LNC021785)". Lineage: Eukaryota; Viridiplantae; Streptophyta; Magnoliopsida; Brassicales; Brassicaceae. The record is from RNAcentral.
CAUACAAAAUAAAAUUGAUUUACUAAUUUGGUUUAUAAAUUAAAACCAACAUACAAAUAUUUUUUGGUCGAACCAACUUACAGAUUAAAAUUGGUUUAUAAAACUAAACCAAAUUAAAAAAAAAAACUAAAUCUAAUUGAUUAGCAUGCAUCUUCUCAGCAACUCGACGCUUUGUCUCCAAAGCCAUAGCUCCUUACACAUAAAUGCCUCAUCAUACCUCCCACUCAUCCUCAUUCCAUCCCUCCCUUGCAAAAAUGCGUUAAUCGCUGCAGUAAACAAGUAGACAUCAGGAGAAACCGCUCUUCUUACGUCUCCUCCUACUCUUCUUCUUCCUCGUCUUUCUUCUUAAAUCUACACAAGUAUACCAAUAAUUGUUAAACUACACAGAUUUAUGAAAAACGGUUCUGUGAAAAUAAUUGCAAAACUACACAUAUUCUUCUCGCUUUUUAAAUCAACUCAACAGAAAUAUAAUUAAGAUGAACAGAUUCAUUGGAUCCUCACAAUCUGAACAGUCAUGCCGGAGCGACAACGGACGCUGUGACGGUACACCGGAACACCUUCAUGUCUCCACCUCUCAUGCUCGUUCAUCCUUCUCUUCUCUCUCCUUCCUCCUAUGGUUCUCCUUCACUCCUUCGAUUCUUUAACAUGGACCAAAAUCAAAGCUACACAAAAGAGAGAUAAUGAGAAAGUAAUUAAUUUGUAGAUCUUAAAAAGGAGAAGGAGGAUUCGCUUCUUACAACGACCAUUGACAGAGAGCAAAGCUGAAGAGAUAUGGGAGCAGAUAUCGUUAAGAGAAUGAAGAGGCUAGCAGUGAAGAAAUCUUAAGAAUUAAG